Nitrobacter hamburgensis X14 is the source of this 259-nucleotide small RNA. It matches the Rfam family "Alphaproteobacterial sRNA ar45". NCBI's taxonomy places the organism in Bacteria, Pseudomonadati, Pseudomonadota, Alphaproteobacteria, Hyphomicrobiales, Nitrobacteraceae. The record is from Rfam.
GCCCAAUUUCGCACGUGCCUGUGGUCGUGUGUCAGUCGGUGGGUAUCCGGACAAGAGGCCGGACAGCCGCCAAGGGUGAAGCAGCCGAGGGUCGCUCAGGUCGGUCGGAUCGAUCGGAACUGAGAGGCCAGCAUCUCUCUCCAGGGAUGCCGUUGAAGGCACUUCGCUCCUUGCAACCGUGACUGGCAGCCGGAGGCGAACCGGCGCACCCCGCUCUCAACGGGGGACGCGACUUAAAGCAACGACGGAUCGGGCUUUU